Molecule: transfer RNA, 88 nt
Filed under: Micromonospora qiuiae
Lineage: Bacteria; Bacillati; Actinomycetota; Actinomycetes; Micromonosporales; Micromonosporaceae
Description: tRNA-Glu
Source: RNAcentral
AACCGUCCGGCCCGGCGGGGCCCGGCGCUCUCUGCGUCGAAUGAAUGAUCUUGAUCGCCACGGUGCGUUCGAGCCGCUCGUCGGUGGC